Molecule: unclassified non-coding RNA, 320 nt
Filed under: uncultured Ceratobasidium
Lineage: Eukaryota; Fungi; Basidiomycota; Agaricomycetes; Cantharellales; Ceratobasidiaceae
Description: sequence contains 5.8S rRNA gene
Source: RNAcentral
GAACGCACCUUGCGCCCUUUGGCUAUUCUGAAGGGCAUGCCUGUUUGAGUAUCAUGAAAUCUUCAAAAUAAAUCUUUUGUUCACUCGAUUGAUUUUAUUUUGGACUUGGAGGCUUGCAGAUUCACGUCUGCUCCUCUUAAAUUUAUUAGCUGGAUCUCGGUGAGCUCGGUUCCACUCGGCGUGAUAAGUAUCACUCGCUGAGGACACUGUAAAAGGUGGCCGGGAUUGCGGAUGAACCGCUUCUAAUAGUCCAUUGACUUGGACAAUAAAUACUUUAUGAUAUGAUCUCAAAUCAGGUAGGACUACCCGCUGAACUUAAG